RNAcentral lists this ribosomal RNA (540 nucleotides) under Meloidogyne hapla. Its description in RNAcentral is "partial 28S ribosomal RNA". The stretch from base 1 to 180 matches the Rfam family "Eukaryotic large subunit ribosomal RNA", at positions 2231 to 2388 of the family's 3401-position model. Lineage: Eukaryota; Metazoa; Nematoda; Chromadorea; Rhabditida; Meloidogynidae. The record is from RNAcentral.
UUCGAGUAAGCGCGGGUAAACGGCGGGAGUAACUAUGACUCUCUUAAGGUAGCCAAAUGCCUCGUCGGCUAACUACCGACGCGCACGAAUGGAUCAACGAGAUUCCCACUGUCCCUAUCUACUAUCUAGCGAAACCACAGCCAAGGAAUCCCCUUUAAAGUAAAUUAAUGUAAAUUUUGGAUUUCCUCGCUGGUUAAUCUUAAUUCAUUACAACUACUGGUAGCAUGAUGAAUCAUCAGGAAUUUAUGCCUGUACUCUGUUAGAAGUUGGUGAAGUGAUUAAUUUUCAAUGAGAUUAAAGCAUAAUUUGUCUUGUGCAAAGGAGAUUAUAAUUUGCUGGCUUGUCAUUUUAAUCUUUAAUCAUAUUUUCGCAAAGGGAUUAAAAUGGUGGAUUUUUCGAGGGGAUUUUUCGGCAUGUUUUUGUAUUUUUCGAUGUUUAAAAAAAAAAAAAAAAAAAAUUUCACUUGAUUGAGAUGACAAGCUAUACGUUGUAUUUGAUUAAUUAGUUAAAAAGAUAUCUGGUUGAUCCUGCCUGAACUGA